Molecule: ribosomal RNA, 360 nt
Filed under: uncultured bacterium
Lineage: Bacteria
Description: bacterial SSU rRNA
Rfam family: Bacterial small subunit ribosomal RNA
Source: RNAcentral
UUUGGAUUUAAUACCUCGAUACGGUAUGUGAGAAUGGCAUCAUUUUCACAUUAAAGUCACAACGGCAAAAGAUGAGCAUGCGUCCCAUUAGCUUGUGGUAAGGUAACGGCUUACCCAAGGCAACCGGAUGGGUAGGGGGUCCCUGAGAGGGAGAUCCCCCACACUGGUACUGAGACACGGACCAGACUCCUACGGGAGGCAGCAGUGAGGAAUAUUGGACAAUGGGCGCAAGCCUGAUCCAGCCAUGCCGCGUGCAGGAUGACGGUCCUAUGGAUUGUAAACUGCUUUUGUACAGGAAGAAACACUGGUUCGUGAACCAGCUUGACGGUACCGAGAGAAUAAGCCCCGGCUAACUCCGUG